RNAcentral lists this ribosomal RNA (496 nucleotides) under uncultured bacterium. Its description in RNAcentral is "partial 16S ribosomal RNA". It matches the Rfam family "Bacterial small subunit ribosomal RNA", at positions 29 to 507 of the family's 1533-position model. The record is from RNAcentral.
AUGAACGCUGGCGGCGUGCCUCAUACAUGCCAGUCGAGCGAACGGACGAGAAGCUUGCUUCUCUGAUGUUAGCGGCGGACGGGUGAGUAACACGUGGAUAACCUACCUAUAAGACUGGGAUAACUUCGGGAAACCGGAGCUAAUACCGGAUAAUAUUUUGAACCGCAUGGUUCAAAAGUGAAAGACGGUCUUGCUGUCACUUAUAGAUGGAUCCGCGCUGCAUUAGCUAGUUGGUAAGGUAACGGCUUACCAAGGCAACGAUGCAUAGCCGACCUGAGAGGGUGACCGGCCACCCUGGAACUGAGACCCGGUCCAGAAUCCUACGGGAGGCAGCAGUAGGGAAUCUUCCGCAAUGGGCGACAGCCUGACGGAGCAACGCCGCGUGAGUGAUGAAGGUCUUCGGAUCGUAAAACUCUGUUAUUAGGGAAGAACAUAUGUGUAAGUAACUGUGCACAUCUUGACGGUACCUAAUCAGAAAGCCACGGCUAACUACGUG